This 370-nucleotide ribosomal RNA is filed under the name uncultured bacterium. RNAcentral describes it as "bacterial SSU rRNA". It matches the Rfam family "Bacterial small subunit ribosomal RNA", at positions 527 to 896 of the family's 1533-position model. The record is from RNAcentral.
GGAGGGUGCAAGCGUUAAUCGGAAUUACUGGGCGUAAAGCGCACGCAGGCGGUCUGUCAAGUCGGAUGUGAAAUCCCCGGGCUCAACCCGGGAACUGCAUUCGAAACUGGCAGGCUAGAGUCUUGUAGAGGGGGGUAGAAUUCCAGGUGUAGCGGUGAAAUGCGUAGAGAUCUGGAGGAAUACCGGUGGCGAAGGCGGCCCCCUGGACAAAGACUGACGCUCAGGUGCGAAAGCGUGGGGAGCAAACAGGAUUAGAUACCCUGGUAGUCCACGCCGUAAACGAUGUCGACUUGGAGGUUGUGCCCUUGAGGCGUGGCUUCCGGAGCUAACGCGUUAAGUCGACCGCCUGGGGAGUACGGCUGCAAGGUUA